GCUGGCGUACGAAACCUGGAUAUGCUA
RNAcentral lists this transfer RNA (27 nucleotides) under Sphenodon punctatus (tuatara). RNAcentral's name for it is "partial tRNA-Leu". The record is from RNAcentral. Lineage: Eukaryota; Metazoa; Chordata; Lepidosauria; Sphenodontia; Sphenodontidae.